AGAGGAAGUGGUGGCUAUGAGUCAGCAUGAGUCAUCUCGUUCCAAUGAGAAUGAAGGCUGAGGUGUGCGCCUUUUUUUUUUUUCCUUCUUAGUCGUGUGUACAUCAUUGGGAAUGGAGGGAAAUAAAUGACUGGAUGGUCGCUGCUUUUUAAGUUUCAAAUUGACAUUCCAGACAAGCGGUGCCUGAGCCCGUGCCUGUCUUCAGAUCUUCACAGCACAGUUCCUGGGAAGGUGGAGCCACCAGCCUCUCCCUGACAAGCAAAGUGGAUCAGCAAAGGCUGCAGUCACCAGCAUCUUUUCCAACCUUAAUGAACUGUAUCCUCAAAAGAACACUAUCAGACUGGCUCUGCCGACUUCCAGUUCUGGAACAAGAUGGUUAAACUCAUUUUUCCCUGCUCUGCUCCUCUAAAUACAACUAAGUACCUUGGAAACUAUUCAGCAGACAAUGAUAAAGGGCUCUGAAAGCUAGAAGAAAAGGUGUACUUGCAAGAAACCUCAGGACUUGAGUAACAGCAACAUGCAAGACAUGUUUUUAAAAUCCUCUGAGAGAGAAAGAGGGUUGCCAGAAAAGGAAUGAAGAGUGGGAGAAAGGUGCAUUGUGGAGCUGUCUGAGCGUUGGAGUAUGUCCCAAUAACGAAGAGACUGUGGAGAAGCAUCCCCUGUCCCGCUCCGUGUUCUAAAUGUAUGAAACCUAACAAGGGAGGAGAGACCACAAAGCCAGCAGCAAACAGUAAACUUUUCCAAGAAUCAGAGAGGAAGGAGUUCCUGACACCCUGCAGCAAAAACAACCUCAAAAUUCCCCUGAAGACAGACCCAUGGGAGCUGGGGUCAAGGUGGCCUUGCGCUUCACCGAGGAGGUGUCAUUACCAAACGUGCUGGACAUUGGCUACCUACGGAAGAAAGAUUAAGGACUGAAAGAAAAUAGUGGAGAACAUGCUUAUGACAUGGGGGUAGGACAGGGAAGGCCUUGAGCAAGACACAAAUCA
Molecule: long non-coding RNA, 986 nt
Organism: Homo sapiens (human)
Lineage: Eukaryota; Metazoa; Chordata; Mammalia; Primates; Hominidae
Product: MIR4435-2 host gene
Source: Ensembl